AGUCAAUAGAUACCCCGGUAGUCCAUGCCGUAAACGAUGAUUGCUAGGUGUGGGGGGUCUGACCCCUUCCGUGCCGGAGUUAAACACAAAUAAGCAAUCCACCUGGGGAGUACGGCCGCAAGGUUGAAACUCAAAGGAAUUGACGGGGGCCCGCACAAGCAGUGGAGUAUGUGGUUUAAUUCGAAGCAACGCGAAGAACCUUACCAGGUCUUGACAUCCACCGAAUCCUGUAGAGAUACGGGAGUGCCCUUCGGGGAACGGUGAGACAGGUGGUGCAUGGUUGUCGUCAGCUCGUGUCGUGAGAUGUUGGGUUAAGUCCCGCAACGAGCGCAACCCUUGUGAAUAGUUGCUACGAAAGAGCACUCUAUUCAGACCGCCGUUGACAAAACGGAGGAAGUGGGGAUGACGUCAAAUCAUCAUGCCCCUUAUGACCUGGGCUACACACGUACUACAAUGGUCGUCAACAGAGGGAAGCAAGACCGCGAGGUGGAGCGAACCCCUAAAACGAUCUCAGUUCAGAUUGCAGACUGAAACUCG
This 537-nucleotide ribosomal RNA is filed under the name uncultured bacterium. RNAcentral describes it as "bacterial SSU rRNA". It matches the Rfam family "Bacterial small subunit ribosomal RNA", at positions 775 to 1314 of the family's 1533-position model. The record is from RNAcentral.